CCGAGUUUACAACUCCCAAACCCAAUGUGAACCAUACCAAACUGUUGCCUCGGCGGGGUCACGCCCCGGGUGCGUCGCAGCCCCGGAACCAGGCGCCCGCCGGAGGGACCAACCAAACUCUUUCUGUAGUCCCCUCGCGGACGUUAUUUCUUACAGCUCUGAGCAAAAAUUCAAAAUGAAUCA
RNAcentral lists this unclassified non-coding RNA (183 nucleotides) under Trichoderma sp. YM2. Its description in RNAcentral is "ITS1". The record is from RNAcentral. Lineage: Eukaryota; Fungi; Ascomycota; Sordariomycetes; Hypocreales; Hypocreaceae. RNAcentral also lists the same sequence under 2 other names.